This 421-nucleotide ribosomal RNA is filed under the name uncultured bacterium. Its description in RNAcentral is "bacterial SSU rRNA". It matches the Rfam family "Bacterial small subunit ribosomal RNA", at positions 355 to 774 of the family's 1533-position model. The record is from RNAcentral.
UAAGGAAUAUUGGUCAAUGGACGCAAGUCUGAACCAGCCAUGCCGCGUGAAGGAUGAAGGUCUUCUGGAUUGUAAACUUCUUUUAUCUGGGACGAAAACGGGAUUUUUAUCUCAAUUGACGGUACCAGAGGAAUAAGCACCGGCUAACUCCGUGCCAGCAGCCGCGGUAAUACGGAGGGUGCGAGCGUUAUCCGGAUUUACUGGGUUUAAAGGGUGCGUAGGUGGGCUUAUAAGUCAGCGGUGAAAUCUCCGAGCUUAACUUGGAAACUGCCGUUGAUACUAUAGGUCUUGAAUUAUCUGGAGGUAAGCGGAAUAUGUCAUGUAGCGGUGAAAUGCUUAGAUAUGACAUAGAACACCAAUUCCGAAGGCAGCUUACUACACAAUCAUUGACGCUGAGGCACGAAAGCGUGGGGAUCAAACA